AUUAAAGUGGCAGAAUGAGUAUGCGAGGGAUUUAAGCUCCCUAAAUGAAUUUUCCUUUAAUA
This 62-nucleotide transfer RNA is filed under the name Ornithodoros tartakovskyi. Its description in RNAcentral is "tRNA-Leu". The record is from RNAcentral. Lineage: Eukaryota; Metazoa; Arthropoda; Arachnida; Ixodida; Argasidae.